UGACAAUCACUGCUCAGUGCACUGUGACUCUGAACACCACCAUAGAGCGGGCAGAUCUGUGGAUUUCCAUGACAGUACUUCCAUAUCCCUUGGUCCAUUGAUGUGGUCUGAUGGUAACAAAGAUACGCCGAUGCCACGCCAAGUGCUAGUAUCCAGGGCUCCAUGUCUGUUGGGUUCUCUGACUAUAUCACUUAUUUCUCUGAUGAGUCUCCUGAUAUUCUGCUAGGAUAUUUCCACUGACAAUCAACCUAAUGUUUUAACACAUCUAUUCUUAUAUUUUUAUUAUAUCUCUUUCUCGAUGAAUGUGACACUGAUGCCAAACUGUUACAAGCUUUCUAUAAAUGUGACCUUUGGGUGAUUGUUGAAAAUCACAACCUUUAAACUCUUUUAUAAAUCAAACAGUCUUAUUACUAUUGUGAGGAUAAAGCAUAUUAAAUAAUGAGAUAAAACAAAUCACAAUAAACUGAUUUUCUCUGUGCUUUG
Molecule: long non-coding RNA, 483 nt
Organism: Sinocyclocheilus rhinocerous
Lineage: Eukaryota; Metazoa; Chordata; Actinopteri; Cypriniformes; Cyprinidae
Exons: 3
Source: RefSeq, a predicted model, not a curated record